ACCACCUCCACCAUCGUUAAUCGCACUCCCAGCCUUCACUUGCGAACAACUGCUCUGCCUCUUGCAUGUGUCCACCUCCGCCGGUCUCAGAACCCGCACCCCUGCCAGCCUCAGACACCGCCCCUUCGCUAGAUUGUUCGUGCCUCCUCUUCUCUUUGUGCGUCCUUUGCAAGGUUCAACAUUUAUUGUGAGUAUGUGAGCACGCCAUCCUCAACUUAGAUAUUACAUACAUGCUACUGUCUCAGGGCUUCUUCCCUUUUUACAAAAGAUAUACCAGAUGAUUACACUAUUUGGAACAAAGUUGUGACAAAGG
Arachis ipaensis is the source of this 313-nucleotide non-coding RNA. The record is from RefSeq and is a predicted model, not a curated record. NCBI's taxonomy places the organism in Eukaryota, Viridiplantae, Streptophyta, Magnoliopsida, Fabales, Fabaceae.